RNAcentral lists this ribosomal RNA (305 nucleotides) under uncultured bacterium. RNAcentral's name for it is "bacterial SSU rRNA". It matches the Rfam family "Bacterial small subunit ribosomal RNA", at positions 337 to 640 of the family's 1533-position model. The record is from RNAcentral.
UCCUACGGGACGCAGCAGUGAGGAAUAUUGGUCAAUGGACGGAAGUCUGAACCAGCCAUGCCGCGUGCAGGAAGACGGCUCUAUGAGUUGUAAACUGCUUUUGUACAAGGGUAAACCUGAAUACGUGUAUUCAGCUGAAAGUACUGUACGAAUAAGGAUCGGCUAACUCCGUGCCAGCAGCCGCGGUAAUACGGAGGAUCCAAGCGUUAUCCGGAUUUAUUGGGUUUAAAGGGUGCGUAGGCGGACAGUCAAGUCAGCGGUAAAAAUGCGGUGCUCAACGCCGUACAGCCGUUGAAACUGGCAGU